RNAcentral lists this ribosomal RNA (291 nucleotides) under Escherichia coli. RNAcentral's name for it is "partial 23S ribosomal RNA". It matches the Rfam family "Bacterial large subunit ribosomal RNA", at positions 1269 to 1563 of the family's 2925-position model. Lineage: Bacteria; Pseudomonadati; Pseudomonadota; Gammaproteobacteria; Enterobacterales; Enterobacteriaceae. The record is from RNAcentral.
GUUGCUGGAGGUAUCAGAAGUGCGAAUGCUGACAUAAGUAACGAUAAAGCGGGUGAAAAGCCCGCUCGCCGGAAGACCAAGGGUUCCUGUCCAACGUUAAUCGGGGCAGGGUGAGUCGACCCCUAAGGCGAGGCCGAAAGGCGUAGUCGAUGGGAAACAGGUUAAUAUUCCUGUACUUGGUGUUACUGCGAAGGGGGGACGGAGAAGGCUAUGUUGGCCGGGCGACGGUUGUCCCGGUUUAAGCGUGUAGGCUGGUUUUCCAGGCAAAUCCGGAAAACCAAGGCUGAGGCG